Molecule: long non-coding RNA, 844 nt
Organism: Papaver somniferum (opium poppy)
Lineage: Eukaryota; Viridiplantae; Streptophyta; Magnoliopsida; Ranunculales; Papaveraceae
Exons: 2
Source: RefSeq, a predicted model, not a curated record
GAAGUAGCGGCCGCUUUUCUUCUUCUUCUUCUUCUCACUCUCACUCUGUCACUCACAGUCACAGCAAGGAUUCAUCAUUCAUGAUCAACGAACACAGAAACAAGCCAACAAGUAACUGAACCAUGAAAGAACCAAGUCAAGACACACCUACACCGGCUCAAACUGAAGAUGGAUCCUCUAAUGUACCUAGUCAAUCUACGCAUGGAGUUGAAGCUCAAUAUACACUUGGAUUUGGAGCUCAAUCUACACCUCCUGAAGUUACUACUAUAGCAGAUGAUGAAAACAAAGACAAGUCUAAAGUUACAUCUGAAGUAUGAUUACAAUUCACAAGGUUAAGUGGAGAUCGAGCAAAAUUUCAUCAUUGUUUGCGCACCUUUGCUGCUAACACAGGAAGAAAUGACACUUCUGGCUUGUGGGUUCAUUUGGAUACGUGCCGCAAAAAUCCAAACAAGAAGAACAAAGGACAGAAAAGUUUGUUGUUUCCUCCCCCAAACCAGGUUAGGAUGGUAAGUUAGUUGCUUCUAUUUUUAAUCAUGAAAAGUGUAGAAGGGAUUUAGUUGAAUUUAUAAUCAAAGCUGAGUUACCAUUUAGAAAGGUAGAAAAUGAAGGGUUUAGGGCUUAUAGUCAGAUGUUGGAAUUUAGAUUCAAGGUCCCCGGUCGCAUGACUAUUUAUAGCGAUCUUUUGAUAAUCUACAGAGAUGAGAAAAAUAGUUUAAAAGAUUACUUCAAGGCAUCCGAACAGAGGGUAUUUUUGACUAGUGAUACAUGGAUAUCAUGAUGUAGUUUUGAAAGUGAUAAGUAGAAGUUCGUUCAAAGAUUUGUAAAGAUUUGAUUUCAAACUUAA